This 221-nucleotide ribosomal RNA is filed under the name Staphylococcus epidermidis. RNAcentral's name for it is "partial 16S ribosomal RNA". It matches the Rfam family "Bacterial small subunit ribosomal RNA", at positions 1126 to 1346 of the family's 1533-position model. Lineage: Bacteria; Bacillati; Bacillota; Bacilli; Caryophanales; Staphylococcaceae. The record is from RNAcentral.
UUAAGUUGGGCACUCUAAGUUGACUGCCGGUGACAAACCGGAGGAAGGUGGGGAUGACGUCAAAUCAUCAUGCCCCUUAUGAUUUGGGCUACACACGUGCUACAAUGGACAAUACAAAGGGCAGCGAAACCGCGAGGUCAAGCAAAUCCCAUAAAGUUGUUCUCAGUUCGGAUUGUAGUCUGCAACUCGACUAUAUGAAGCUGGAAUCGCUAGUAAUCGUA